RNAcentral lists this ribosomal RNA (444 nucleotides) under uncultured bacterium. RNAcentral describes it as "bacterial SSU rRNA". It matches the Rfam family "Bacterial small subunit ribosomal RNA", at positions 29 to 506 of the family's 1533-position model. The record is from RNAcentral.
AUGAACGCUGGCGGCGUGUCUAAGGCAUGCAAGUCGAGUGGGUUCAGACCCACGGCAAACGGGAGCGUAACACAUUGGUAAUCUGCCUCUAACUGGAGGAUAACCCGCCGAAAGGCGGGAUAAUACUCCAUUAACUAUUUCGUCACAUGUUGGAAUAGUAAAGAUUUAUCGGUUAGAGAGGAGCCUAUGGUCUAUCAGCUAGUUGGUAGUGUAAAAGACUACCAAGGCUAUGACGGAUAGCGGGUGUGAGAGCACGACCCGCCUCACUGGGACUGAGAAACUGCCCAGACACCUACGGGUGGCUGCAGUCAAGAAUAUUCCUCAAUGGGCGAAAGCCUGAAGGAGCGACGCCGCGUGACUGAUGAAGUCUUUCGGGAUGUAAAGGUCUUUUCCAAAGGAAGAAACAAUGACGGUACUUUGGGAAUAAGAGGUUGCUAACUCUGU